GAUGAACGCUGGCGGCGUGCUUAACACAUGCAAGUCGAACGAUGAAGCCCAGCUUGCUGGGUGGAUUAGUGGCGAACGGGUGAGUAACACGUGAGUAACCUGCCCUUGACUCUAGGAUAAGCCCGGGAAACUGGGUUUAAUACUGGAUAGGAACGUCUACCGCAUGGUGGGUGUUGGAAAGAAUUUCGGUCGUGGUUCGACUCGCGGCCUAUCAGCUUGUUGGUGAGGUAAUGGCUGACCACGGCGACGACGGGUAGCCGGCCUGAGAGGGUGACCGGCCACACUGGGACUGAGACACGGCGCAGACUCCUACGGGAGGCAGCAGUGGGGAAUAUUGCACAAUGGGCGAAAGCCUGAUGCAGCGACGCCGCGUGAGGGAUGACGGCCUUCGGGUUGUAAACCUCUUUCAGUAGGGAAGAAGCGAAAGUGACGGUACCUGCAGAAGAAGCACCGGCUAACUACGUG
Molecule: ribosomal RNA, 465 nt
Filed under: uncultured bacterium
Lineage: Bacteria
Description: partial 16S ribosomal RNA
Rfam family: Bacterial small subunit ribosomal RNA
Source: RNAcentral